Molecule: ribosomal RNA, 374 nt
Filed under: uncultured organism
Description: partial 16S ribosomal RNA
Rfam family: Bacterial small subunit ribosomal RNA
Source: RNAcentral
GUAGGUGGCAAGCGUUGUCCGGAAUUAUUGGGCGUAAAGCGCGCGCAGGCGGUCCUUUAAGUCUGAUGUGAAAGACCCACGGGCUCAACCGUGGAGGGUCAUUGGAAACUGGGGGACUUGAGUACAGAAGAGGAAAGCGGAAUUCCAAGUGUAGCGGUGAAAUGCGCAGAGAUUUGGAGGAACACCAGUGGCGAAGGCGGCUUUCUGGUCUGUAACUGACGCUGAGGCGCGAAAGCGUGGGGAGCAAACAGGAUUAGAUACCCUGGUAGUCCACGCCGUAAACGAUGAGUGCUAAGUGUUAGGGGGUUUCCGCCCCUUAGUGCUGCAGCUAACGCAUUAAGCACUCCGCCUGGGGAGUACGGCCGCAAAGGCUG